RNAcentral lists this ribosomal RNA (472 nucleotides) under Pseudomonas sp. N-14-25-4. RNAcentral describes it as "bacterial SSU rRNA". It matches the Rfam family "Bacterial small subunit ribosomal RNA", at positions 8 to 474 of the family's 1533-position model. The record is from RNAcentral. Lineage: Bacteria; Pseudomonadati; Pseudomonadota; Gammaproteobacteria; Pseudomonadales; Pseudomonadaceae.
AGAGUUUGAUCAUGGCUCAGAUUGAACGCUGGCGGCAGGCCUAACACAUGCAAGUCGAGCGGAUGAAGGGAGCUUGCUCCUGGAUUUAGCGGCGGACGGGUGAGUAAUGCCUAGGAAUCUGCCUGGUAGUGGGGGAUAACGUUCCGAAAGGAACGCUAAUACCGCGUACGUCCUACGGGAGAAAGCAGGGGACCUUCGGGCCUUGCGCUAUCAGAUGAGCCUAGGUCGGAUUAGCUAGUUGGUGAGGUAAUGGCUCACCAAGGCGACGAUCCGUAACUGGUCUGAGAGGAUGAUCAGUCACACUGGAACAUGAGACACGGUCCAGACUCCUACGGGAGGCAGCAGUGGGGAAUAUUGGACAAUGGGCGAAAGCCUGAUCCAGCCAUGCCGCGUGUGUGAAGAAGGUCUUCGGAUUGUAAAGCACUUUAAGUUGGGAGGAAGGGUUGUACGUUAAUACCGUGCUAUUUUGACG